CCUACGGGUGACAGCAGUCGAGAAUCUUUCACAAUGGGGGAAACCCUGAUGGUGCGACGCCGCGUGGGGGAAUGAAGGCCUUCGGAUUGUAAACCCCUGUCAUGUGGGAGCAAAUUAAAAAGAUAGUACCACAACAGGAAGAGACUGCUAACUCUGUGCCAGCAGCCGCGGUAUUAAAGAGGUCUCAAGCUUUGUUCGGAAUCACUGGGCGUAAAGGGUGCGUAGGCUGUUUCGUAAGUCGUGUGCGAAAGGCGCGGGCUCAACCCGCGGACGGCACAUGAUACUGCGAGACUAGAGUAAUGGAGGGGGAACCGGAAUUCUAGGUGUAGCAGUGAAAUGCGUAGAUAUCGGGAGGAACACUCGUGGCGAAGGCGGGUUCCUGGACAUUAACUGACGCUGAGGCACGAAGGCCAGGGGAGCGAAAGGGAUUAGAUACCCGAGUAGUC
RNAcentral lists this ribosomal RNA (446 nucleotides) under uncultured bacterium. RNAcentral's name for it is "partial 16S ribosomal RNA". It matches the Rfam family "Bacterial small subunit ribosomal RNA", at positions 338 to 795 of the family's 1533-position model. The record is from RNAcentral.